AUGUCUGAAGUGUAUAAUAGUUACAUACUUGAAGCUAGAGAGCUCUGUAUUGUGUCAAUAUUGGAGUGCAUCCUUGCAAAGAUAUCACUGAGGCAUGCAAGCAAACGGAGAGAAGCAGUUGAGAAAUGGAAAGGAAGAAUUUGCCUAAAAAGUAGGAAGAAGUUAGAGAAAAAUGCAGAAUUUUCUGCCAAUUGUUUUCCAACAAAUGCUAGCAAUAGAAUAUUUCAUGUGCAGUCUGAGCCCAAGACAUACAUUGUUGACACCAUAGGAAGGACUUGUAAGUGCAAAAGGGAUUGCCUUGCAGUCAUGCAAUUGUAG
RNAcentral lists this ribosomal RNA (318 nucleotides) under Triticum aestivum (bread wheat). RNAcentral's name for it is "partial small subunit ribosomal RNA". Lineage: Eukaryota; Viridiplantae; Streptophyta; Magnoliopsida; Poales; Poaceae. The record is from RNAcentral.